Dermatophagoides farinae (American house dust mite) is the source of this 708-nucleotide non-coding RNA. NCBI's taxonomy places the organism in Eukaryota, Metazoa, Arthropoda, Arachnida, Sarcoptiformes, Pyroglyphidae. The record is from RefSeq and is a predicted model, not a curated record.
AUUAUCAACAUUUUCCUCUCUCUCUCUCUUUCUCUUUCUGGCUCUGCUUGUUGCACAACGAAUUAUUUUUCAUUCAUUCGGCAAAGUCGAACAUCACACACACACACAAACACAGAUCGAGUACAUCAAAUGGAUUGAUCAAGUAACACAUGCACACACCAUUUGGUGUUAGACCGAGUGGAUUUAUCAUUGAUUUCGACCACAUACAUAAUCGAUUCUGGUAUCAUGAGAAUUGUUUCGAUGUAAACAUUAUAGCUGACAAGUUUUCAUGAACCAACGGGCCGAUUCAAAUGAUCAUUUUGGAUCGAAAUAGUAACAGAUGGCCAAAUGAGUUGAUGAUCAAGCUUGGACUUGAAGAUUGAAAUAUUUUUUUACGUUUAUCAUGUUCAUGAUGAACUUUUUUCUCGAACGAGGAAAUUCCCCCCAUCGCCACAACCAUUAUCUCUCUAUCUUUUUCGUUUUGAUAAUGUUUUCAUUUAACAAAAAAACUAAAAGAAUUUAUUUAUCUCAAAAGCAUGUUCAAUUCAACAAAACCUGAAAUUUUUUGUGACAAACAGAAUAUUAUCAUAUACAAUGCAAACUCAACACAUUUGAAUUUCGAAUAACCUAUUGCGCCAUCUUCCGGUGAGCAAUUGAAUGCAAUUUAAAUUUUAAAAAAUUGUCAUCACAAUUUUUAAUCUGUUUAUUAAAUGAUGAUUGAUUGAUUGA